CACGUGGGUAAUCUACCUCUUAGAGUGGAAUAACCCUGGGAAACCGGGGCUAAUACCGCAUAAGCCUGAGAAGGGAAAGUCGCAAGACGCUGAGAGAGGAGCCCGCGGCCGAUUAGCUAGUUGGGAGGGUAAAAGCCUACCAAGGCAAAGAUCGGUAGCCGGCCUGAGAGGGCACACGGCCACACUGGCACUGAAACAUGGGCCAGACUCCUACGGGAGGCAGCAGUGGGGAAUCUUGCACAAUGGGGGAAACCCUGAUGCAGCGACGCCGCGUGAGCGAUGAAGCCCUUCGGGGUGUAAAGCUCUUUCGUCAGGGAAGAUAAUGACGGUACCUGGAGAAGCAGCUGCGGCUAACUACGUGCCAGCAGCCGCGGUAAUACGUAGGCAGCGAGCGUUGUUCGGAGUUACUGGGCGUAAAGGGUGUGUAGGCGGUUGUUUAAGUUUGGUGUGAAAUCUCC
This 458-nucleotide ribosomal RNA is filed under the name uncultured bacterium. Its description in RNAcentral is "bacterial SSU rRNA". It matches the Rfam family "Bacterial small subunit ribosomal RNA", at positions 114 to 604 of the family's 1533-position model. The record is from RNAcentral.